GACGAACGCUGGCGGCGUGCCUAACACAUGCAAGUCGAACGGUGAAGCGCCUUCCUUUUUGGUGGGUGUGGAUGAGUGGCGAACGGGUGAGUAACACGUGAGUAACCUGCUCCCUUCUUCUGGAUAACCGCAUGAAAGUGUGGCUAAUACGGGAUAUUCUGGGUCUGUCGCAUCAUGGGUUUGGGAAAGCUUUUGUUUCGGUGUGGGAUGGGCUCGCGGCCUAUCAGCUUGUUGGUGGGGUGAUGGCCUACCAAGGCGAUGACGGGUAGCUGGCCUGAGAGGGAGAGUGGACAGACAGGAAAGGAGAGAGGGACGAGCCAGACACGUGAGGGAGGCAGCGGGAGGGAAUAUUGAAGAGUGGAAGCAAGACUGAGGCAGCGACGGCGCGUGAGGGAGGGAGGCGGUCGGGAAGUGAACCUCUUUCGGCAGGAAAGAAGGCCUGCCUAGUUUGUGGGGGGGUUGAGGGUAGCUGGAAAAGAAGCGCCGGCUAACUAGGU
Molecule: ribosomal RNA, 497 nt
Filed under: uncultured bacterium
Lineage: Bacteria
Description: partial 16S ribosomal RNA
Rfam family: Bacterial small subunit ribosomal RNA
Source: RNAcentral